This 330-nucleotide ribosomal RNA is filed under the name uncultured eukaryote. Its description in RNAcentral is "partial 18S ribosomal RNA". It matches the Rfam family "Eukaryotic small subunit ribosomal RNA", at positions 1470 to 1796 of the family's 1831-position model. The record is from RNAcentral.
CCCUUAGAUGUUCGGGGCCGCACGCGCGCUACACUGAAGGAAUCAGCGUGCUCUUGUCCUGGUCUGGAAAGACUGGGUAACCCGUUGAACCUCCUUCGUGCUAGGGAUUGGGGCUUGCAAUUAUUCCCCAUGAACGAGGAAUUCCCAGUAAGCGCAAGUCAUCAGCUUGUGUUGAUUACGUCCCUGCCCUUUGUACACACCGCCCGUCGCUCCUACCGAUUGAAUGAUCCGAUGAAUACCAUGGAUUGAGAGUACGAAUAGGUUCGCUUAUUUCUGCUUCUCGAGAAGUGGAGUAAAUCUUAUCAUUUAGAGGAAGGAGAAGUCGUAACA